GAGAAGGCUAUGUUGGCCGGGCGACGGUUGUCCCGGUUUAAGCGUGUAGGUGUGUGUUCCAGGUAAAUCCGGUUCACUUUAACACUGAGGCGUGACGACGAGGCACUACGGUGCUGAAGCAACAAAUGCCCUGCUUCCAGGAAAAGCCUCUAAGCAUCAGGUAACACGAAAUCGUACCCCAAACCGACACAGGUGGUCAGGUAGAGAAUACCAAGGCGCUUGAGAGAACUCGGGUGAAGGAACUAGGCAAAAUGGUGCCGUAACUUCGGGAGAAGGCACGCUGACACGUAGGUGAAGUGAUUUACUCAUGGAGCUGAAGUCAGUCGAAGAUACCAGCUGGCUGCAACUGUUUAUUAAAAACACAGCACUGUGCAAACACGAAAGUGGACGUAUACGGUGUGACGCCUGCCCGGUGCCGGAAGGUUAAUUGAUGGGGUCAGCGUAAGCGAAGCUCCUGAUCGAAGCCCCGGUAAACGGCGGCCGUAACUAUAACGGUCCUAAGGUAGCGAAAUUCCUUGUCGGGUAAGUUCCGACCUGCACGAAUGGCGUAAUGAUGGCCAGGCUGUCUCCACCCGAGACUCAGUGAAAUUGAACUCGCUGUGAAGAUGCAGUGUACCCGCGGCAAGACGGAAAGACCCCGUGAACCUUUACUAUAGCUUGACACUGAACAUUGAGCCUUGAUGUGUAGGAUAGGUGGGAGGCUUUGAAGUGUGGACGCCAGUCUGCAUGGAGCCGACCUUGAAAUACCACCCUUUAAUGUUUGAUGUUCUAACGUGGACCCGUAAUCCGGGUUGCGGACAGUGUCUGGUGGGUAGUUUGACUGGGGCGGUCUCCUCCUAAAGAGUAACGGAGGAGCACGAAGGUUGGCUAAUCCUGGUCGGACAUCAGGAGGUUAGUGCAAUGGCAUAAGCCAGCUUGACUGCGAGCGUGACGGCGCGAGCAGGUGCGAAAGCAGGUCAUAGUGAUCCGGUGGUUCUGAAUGGAAGGGCCAUCGCUCAACGGAUAAAAGGUACUCCGGGGAUAACAGGCUGAUACCGCCCAAGAGUUCAUAUCGACGGCGGUGUUUGGCACCUCGAUGUCGGCUCAUCACAUCCUGGGGCUGAAGUAGGUCCCAAGGGUAUGGCUGUUCGCCAUUUAAAGUGGUACGCGAGCUGGGUUUAGAACGUCGUGAGACAGUUCGGUCCCUAUCUGCCGUGGGCGCUGGAGAACUGAGGGGGGCUGCUCCUAGUACGAGAGGACCGGAGUGGACGCAUCACUGGUGUUCGGGUUGUCAUGCCAAUGGCACUGCCCGGUAGCUAAAUGCGGAAGAGAUAAGUGCUGAAAGCAUCUAAGCACGAAACUUGCCCCGA
RNAcentral lists this ribosomal RNA (1349 nucleotides) under Salmonella enterica subsp. enterica serovar Typhimurium. Its description in RNAcentral is "partial 23S ribosomal RNA". It matches the Rfam family "Bacterial large subunit ribosomal RNA", at positions 1475 to 2802 of the family's 2925-position model. The record is from RNAcentral. Lineage: Bacteria; Pseudomonadati; Pseudomonadota; Gammaproteobacteria; Enterobacterales; Enterobacteriaceae.